AGUGAACGCUGGCGGUAGGCCUAACACAUGCAAGUCGAACGGCAGCACAGUAAGAGCUUGCUCUUACGGGUGGCGGGUGGCGGACGGGUGAGGAAUACAGCGGAAUCUACUUUUUCGUGGGGGAUAACGUAGGGAAACUUACGCUAAUACCGCAUACGACCUACGGGUGAAAGCAGGGGAUCUUCGGACCUUGCGCGAUUGAAUGAGCCGAUGUCGGAUUAGCUAGUUGGCGGGGUAAAGGCCCACCAAGGCGACGAUCCGUAGCUGGUCUGAGAGGAUGAUCAGCCACCCUGGAACUGAGACACGGCCCAGAAUCCUACGGGAGGCAGCAGUGGGGAAUAUUGGAGAAUGGGCGGAAGACUGAUCCAGCCAUACCGCCUGGGUGGAGAAGGCCUUCGGGUUGUAAAGCCCUUUUGUUGGGAAAGAAAAGCAGCAGGUUAAUACGCCGCUGUUCUGACGGUACCCAAAGAAUAAGCACCGGCUAACUUCGUG
RNAcentral lists this ribosomal RNA (492 nucleotides) under uncultured bacterium. Its description in RNAcentral is "partial 16S ribosomal RNA". It matches the Rfam family "Bacterial small subunit ribosomal RNA", at positions 29 to 507 of the family's 1533-position model. The record is from RNAcentral.